Molecule: ribosomal RNA, 451 nt
Filed under: uncultured bacterium
Lineage: Bacteria
Description: partial 16S ribosomal RNA
Rfam family: Bacterial small subunit ribosomal RNA
Source: RNAcentral
AGCGAACGCUGGCGGCAGGCCUAACACAUGCAAGUCGAGCGGGCGUCGCAAGACGUCAGCGGCAGACGGGAGAGUAACACGUGGGAACGUACCCUUCGGUUCGGAAUAACCCAGGGAAACUUGGGCUAAUACCGGAUACGUCCGUAAGGAGAAAGAUUUAUCGCCGAAGGAUCGGCCCGCGUCCGGUUAGCUAGUUGGUGGGGUAAUGGCCCACCAAGGCGACGAUCGGUAGCUGGUCUGAGAGGAUGAUCAGCCUCACUGGGACUGAGACACGGCCCAGACUCCUACGGGAGGCAGCAGUGGGGAAUAUUGGACAAUGGGCGCAAGCCUGAUCCAGCCAUGCCGCGUGGGUGAUGAAGGCCCUAGGGUUGUAAAGCCCUUUCGGCGGGGAAGACAAUGACGGUACCCGCAGAAGAAACCCCGGCUAACUUCGUGCCAGCAGCCGCGGUAA